AUGAACGCUGGCGGCGUGCCUAAUACAUGCAAGUCGAGCGAACAGAUGAGGAGCUUGCUCCUCUGACGUUAGCGGCGGACGGGUGAGUAACACGUGGAUAACCUACCUAUAAGACUGGGAUAACUUCGGGAAACCGGAGCUAAUACCGGAUAAUAUAUUGAACCGCAUGGUUCAAUAGUGAAAGACGGUUUUGCUGUCACUUAUAGAUGGAUCCGCGCCGCAUUAGCUAGUUGGUAAGGUAACGGCUUACCAAGGUAACGAUGCGUAGCCGACCUGAGAGGGUGAUCGGCCACACUGGAACUGAGACACGGUCCAGACUCCUACGGGAGGCAGCAGUAGGGAAUCUUCCGCAAUGGGCGAAAGCCUGACGGAGCAACGCCGCGUGAGUGAUGAAGGUCUUCGGAUCGUAAAACUCUGUUAUUAGGGAAGAACAAAUGUGUAAGUAACUAUGCACGUCUUGACGGUACCUAAUCAGAAAGCCACGGCUAACUACGUG
This 496-nucleotide ribosomal RNA is filed under the name uncultured bacterium. RNAcentral describes it as "partial 16S ribosomal RNA". It matches the Rfam family "Bacterial small subunit ribosomal RNA", at positions 29 to 507 of the family's 1533-position model. The record is from RNAcentral.